AAUUUUCAAAUUUUGAACACACACCCCUAUCUCUUUCUCUCUCUCUCUCCAUCAGAGCCCAUUCCCUUGCUGGAGACCCAACCCCAAUCUUCAUCUUCAUCAACCGAGGCAGCCACAAUCUUCAUCUUCUCUUUUCCUCCCUCUCUCUCUCUGCCAUCCCAAUCUUCAUUAGCCGAGGCAGCCCUAAAAGGGAGCCACUACAAAAAAGGAAGAAUCUAAAGGAAGAGUAUUAGAAAAAUUGGAAAAGAUUGGACCGAUCUAAAGCGGGUGAUCACCGAAGAAGAACACCUGCCAUUCCUCAAUUGGGAGGCUUGGAUUGUAUUCACAAUGUCAGCAUUAUAGAGUUUAAUCAAGGAAAUGGAAAAUAUUGUCGUUCAAGAACAAAUCUAAUGAAUUAAAUUGUGAACCUAUUUGGGGAUUCACACAAUGGGGCAACCAUGAAAGUGAAUUUUCUCUACUUAGGUAUGAACUUUUACUUCAUACCCAUUGGGCAGUGAUUAACAUUUUCUUCAUCAACAAAGUCCAUCACUGUUACUUCAGAAGCAGAAAUGAUAAUGAAUUAUAGUAAAAAUGCUCUGUCCAAAAAAACCUGUUGCCGGUGAUGUCCCUAAUGGGUUUCAAGGAUUGAAAGCAAUUAUAGUUGAUAAGAAACCGGUUAGAGCAGCUGUGACAAGAUACCAUCUGAAGAGACUCGGUAUUCUGGUUGAAGUCGUAAGUUGUGUAAGGAUGGCAGCUACUAUGUCUUGCAAAAAUGGAUCCAAGCUGAAAAACUGCUUACAAAGACAUUGUCGUACCCAAGAAGUGUUUGAACAGAGCAUCUGAAUGCCUAUUGGACCUGAAUUCAACCCAGUGACAGCGGUUGGAGCUCUUAAUCGGCCAGAGUUCAAUUUGUUGGCAAUACUCUAAUCACUAUACAUUUUAUUGUUUUGUACACUGAGUUCAAUUUGUUGUCAAUACUUUAAUCACUAUACAGUUUAUUGCUUUGUACACUAAGUUUAAUUUGUUGUCAAUACUCUAAUCACUAUAAAGUUUAUUCAUGUUUUAAAUUUUUUAUUAGAUGCAUUUCAUUCAUAUCUUUCCAGUGUCAAACAUUUUAAAAAAUUCACUCCCUACUCUUUGAAAAAAAAAAAAAAAACACGUGCCUUUAGGAUUGUUGGUGUUUGUUGCUGGAGAUAGAACUGCUCUGAAUAGUGGUUGAAUAAUGGUUUUUUGGUUUUUAGUACAGAUUUUUUUUGAGAUUUUAAAAAUUAUUUAUGAUGACCUCUUAUAGAGUUUCGUUUUAAAAUAAAAUGGAUUUUAUUAAUCUUAUUCGAAGGUAUGAAUUUAUCAUGGUGAAUUUGAGGUAGCAUGCCUUCAAAAUCUGUCACCAUUAAAGAAUUUGUUACUUUCCAACAUUAUUCUAUUAGUAUAAUAUGCCCUUUUAUCACAUCUUCCCCAUCUUUUUAGUUUACAAUACUAUGGUGGCUUAAUUUUCGUCUUCACAGCCUUACCCCACCAUCAAAUACCAAUUCUCAAAACACAUUGUACAAUCAAAUAUGAUGUACCCUACUAUGAUGUUUACAAGCUUAAUAGUCAUUUUGGAGGGUUUGAACAUUGUGUAGACAGCAUAAUCAGUUAUUUGUUAAAAACUGACAUUCUGCUGGAGUUAGUGCAACAUGUUAUGUGCACAUCCUUUUUGAUAUCUUAAUUUUUAUGUGAUUAUCCUAGGUUUGCUUGCUUAUGGUUGCAUCCAUUUGAAUGGACAAGUAACUUAUUGGAAAAUAAAAAGAAAAGAAAUAGAUUCAAGGCAUUUUGUCUUCUGCAGGUUGGUAAUAAUUUGUUAUU
Non-coding RNA from Camellia sinensis, 1824 nucleotides. The record is from RefSeq and is a predicted model, not a curated record. Lineage: Eukaryota; Viridiplantae; Streptophyta; Magnoliopsida; Ericales; Theaceae.